Molecule: transfer RNA, 74 nt
Filed under: Trichomalopsis sarcophagae
Lineage: Eukaryota; Metazoa; Arthropoda; Insecta; Hymenoptera; Pteromalidae
Description: tRNA-OTHER
Rfam family: tRNA
About the family: Transfer RNA (tRNA) molecules are approximately 80 nucleotides in length.
Source: RNAcentral
GUAGACGUUAGCUCAGUGGUUAGAGCACAGGCCUCUGGCUCUCGGGUCAGCGAGUUCGAGUCCCGUCGUCUACU